ACCCAGCUGACGAGUCCCAAAUAGGACGAAACGCGUGUCCUGCAU
Non-coding RNA from Schistosoma mattheei, 45 nucleotides. NCBI's taxonomy places the organism in Eukaryota, Metazoa, Platyhelminthes, Trematoda, Strigeidida, Schistosomatidae. The record is from Rfam.